GUGAAUAGUGUGGGGGAGAACACGAGUUAGUGUAGUUUGAUUUUUUUUUUCGGAAAUGGGGGGGGGGGGGGGGGCUAAUCUGAUUAACUUGUAAGCUAGUUGCUCAAAAAAUGAGCUCUUUUUGCAUCAAAAGCCCAACUAGGCGGAGCU
Caenorhabditis elegans is the source of this 150-nucleotide non-coding RNA. The record is from Ensembl. Lineage: Eukaryota; Metazoa; Nematoda; Chromadorea; Rhabditida; Rhabditidae.